RNAcentral lists this ribosomal RNA (1413 nucleotides) under Microhedyle sp. ZSM DNA AB35081773. RNAcentral's name for it is "SSU rRNA". It matches the Rfam family "Eukaryotic small subunit ribosomal RNA", at positions 31 to 1434 of the family's 1831-position model. The record is from RNAcentral. Lineage: Eukaryota; Metazoa; Mollusca; Gastropoda; Acochlidiacea; Microhedylidae.
CUUGUCUCAAAGAUUAAGCCAUGCAUGUCUAAGUUCACACUAUCUCACGGUGAAACCGCGAAUGGCUCAUUAAAUCAGUCGAGGUUCCUUAGAUGACACGAUCCUACUUGGAUAACUGUGGCAAUUCUAGAGCUAAUACAUGCUUACCAAGCUCCGACCCUCGUGGAAAGAGCGCUUUUAUUAGUUCAAAACCAAUCGCCGUUACUCUUCGGGGUGCGGCGUCCCCACUGGUGACUCUGGAUAACUUUGUGCUGAUCGCAUGGCCUUUUGCGCCGGCGACGCAUCUUUCAAAUGUCUGCCCUAUCAAAUGUCGAUGGUACGUGACAUGCCUACCAUGUUUGUAACGGGUAACGGGGAAUCAGGGUUCGAUUCCGGAGAGGGAGCAUGAGAAACGGCUACCACAUCCAAGGAAGGCAGCAGGCGCGCAACUUACCCACUCCCGGCACGGGGAGGUAGUGACGAAAAAUAACAAUACGGGACUCUUUCGAGGCCCCGUAAUUGGAAUGAGUACACUUUAAACCCUUUAACGAGGAUCUAUUGGAGGGCAAGUCUGGUGCCAGCAGCCGCGGUAAUUCCAGCUCCAAUAGCGUAUAUUAAAGUUGUUGCAGUUAAAAAGCUCGUAGUUGGAUCUCAGGCGCAGGCGGGUGGUCCGGCUCGCGCCGGCUCACUGCCCGUACUCCUGCCCUACCUGUCUGUCGGCUCUCUCCCGCGGGUGCUCUUCACUGAGCGUCCCGGGUGGCCGGCGCGUUUACUUUGAAAAAAUUAGAGUGUUCAAAGCAGGCCUCGGCUGCCUGAAUAAUGGUGCAUGGAAUAAUGGAAUAGGACCUCGGUUCUAUUUUGUUGGUUUUCGGAACUAGAGGUAAUGAUUAACAGGGACAAACGGGGGCAUUCGUAUUGCUGCGUUAGAGGUGAAAUUCUUGGAUCGCAGCAAGACGAGCUACUGCGAAAGCAUUUGUCAAGAAUGUUUUCAUUAAUCAAGAACGAAAGUCAGAGGCGCGAAGACGAUCAGAUACCGUCGUAGUUCUGACCAUAAACGAUGCCAGCUAGCGAUCCGCAGGAGUUGCUUCGAUGACUCUGCGGGCAGCUUCCGGGAAACCAAAGUUUUUGGGUUCCGGGGGAAGUAUGGUUGCAAAGCUGAAACUUAAAGGAAUUGACGGAAGGGCACCACCAGGAGUGGAGCCUGCGGCUUAAUUUGACUCAACACGGGAAAACUCACCCGGUCCGGACACUGUAAGGAUUGACAGAUUGAUAGCUCUUUCUUGAUUCGGUGGGUGGUGGUGCAUGGCCGUUCUUAGUUGGUGGAGCGAUUUGUCUGGUUAAUUCCGAUAACGAACGAGACCCUUGCCUAUUAAAUAGUUCGCCGAUUCCUUGAUGCGUCGGCGCAACUUCUUAGAGGGACGAGUGGCGUUUAGC